This 290-nucleotide ribosomal RNA is filed under the name uncultured prokaryote. Its description in RNAcentral is "partial 16S ribosomal RNA". It matches the Rfam family "Archaeal small subunit ribosomal RNA", at positions 455 to 747 of the family's 1478-position model. The record is from RNAcentral.
GUGUCAGCCGCGGUAAUACCGGCAGCCCGAGUGAUGGCCGAUCUUAUUGGGCCUAAAGCGUCCGUAGCUGGCCGCACAAGUCCAUCGGAAAAUCCACCCGCCCAACGGGUGGGCGUCCGGUGGAAACUGUGUGGCUUGGGACCGGAAGGCGCGACGGGUACGUCCGGGGUAGGAGUGAAAUCCUGUAAUCCUGGACGGACCGCCGAUGGCGAAAGCACGUCGCGAGGACGGAUCCGACAGUGAGGGACGAAAGCCAGGGUCUCGAACCGGAUUAGAAACCCGCGUAGUCC